UUAUUUGUUUUUAAUUUUACCGCCUCCUUUGGAGGAAGGUUUUUUAACUACACACAGCAGUGCCACACCUGUCAGUACUUCUGGUGCC
Molecule: non-coding RNA, 88 nt
Filed under: Enterobacter hormaechei
Lineage: Bacteria; Pseudomonadati; Pseudomonadota; Gammaproteobacteria; Enterobacterales; Enterobacteriaceae
Description: ES056 sRNA
Rfam family: ES056 sRNA
About the family: Differentially expressed under several chemical stress and fermentation conditions.
Source: RNAcentral